Molecule: long non-coding RNA, 422 nt
Organism: Myotis myotis
Lineage: Eukaryota; Metazoa; Chordata; Mammalia; Chiroptera; Vespertilionidae
Exons: 3
Source: RefSeq, a predicted model, not a curated record
CUCGGGGCUUGGCGAGCCACCCGCAAAGCUAGGUGAAGGCUAAGGAGGCUGACUGAUGAGUGGGAUUCCUCCAGCACCUACUCCAUUCCGGGGGCGGAUGCUGCGCACAUUCGUGGCUAAAACAAGAAAUAACCGCGCAGAUCCAGGCCCAGGAAAGCAGCAAAGCCAGAGAAGCAACGCCCCUGUUGACCUCAGGACCAACCGCAUUGGAUAAUGACCCACUGGAGCCUGUUAGGUCCCCGAAGGAGGAAUGCAGGAGGCCAGAAAGCCAGACACAAGUACAGAGGUUGCUGAACCCAGGUCCAGUAUGACCCCACUCGUCUAGCAAGCACUCGUCUAGUUCCUGCCACCCACGACAGAUUGUACAACAGAUUAAUGUUCCUCCCUCUCUCUCUCUGUCUAAAAUAAAGCAAUAAAAUAGA